AAAUUGAAGAGUUUGAUCAUGGCUCAGAUUGAACGCUGGCGGCAGGCCUAACACAUGCAAGUCGAACGGUAACAGGAAGCAGCUUGCUGCUUCGCUGACGAGUGGCGGACGGGUGAGUAAUGUCUGGGAAACUGCCUGAUGGAGGGGGAUAACUACUGGAAACGGUAGCUAAUACCGCAUAACGUCGCAAGACCAAAGAGGGGGACCUUCGGGCCUCUUGCCAUCGGAUGUGCCCAGAUGGGAUUAGCUUGUUGGUGGGGUAACGGCUCACCAAGGCGACGAUCCCUAGCUGGUCUGAGAGGAUGACCAGCCACACUGGAACUGAGACACGGUCCAGACUCCUACGGGAGGCAGCAGUGGGGAAUAUUGCACAAUGGGCGCAAGCCUGAUGCAGCCAUGCCGCGUGUAUGAAGAAGGCCUUCGGGUUGUAAAGUACUUUCAGCGGGGAGGAAGGGAGUAAAGUUAAUACCUUUGCUCAUUGACGUUACCCGCAGAAGAAGCACCGGCUAACUCCGUGCCAGCAGCCGCGGUAAUACGGAGGGUGCAAGCGUUAAUCGGAAUUACUGGGCGUAAAGCGCACGCAGGCGGUUUGUUAAGUCAGAUGUGAAAUCCCCGGGCUCAACCUGGGAACUGCAUCUGAUACUGGCAAGCUUGAGUCUCGUAGAGGGGGGUAGAAUUCCAGGUGUAGCGGUGAAAUGCGUAGAGAUCUGGAGGAAUACCGGUGGCGAAGGCGGCCCCCUGGACGAAGACUGACGCUCAGGUGCGAAAGCGUGGGGAGCAAACAGGAUUAGAUACCCUGGUAGUCCACGCCGUAAACGAUGUCGACUUGGAGGUUGUGCCCUUGAGGCGUGGCUUCCGGAGCUAACGCUUUAAGUCGACCGCCUGGGGAGUACGGCCGCAAGGUUAAAACUCAAAUGAAUUGACGGGGGCCCGCACAAGCGGUGGAGCAUGUGGUUUAAUUCGAUGCAACGCGAAGAACCUUACCUGGUCUUGACAUCCACGGAAGUUUUCAGAGAUGAGAAUGUGCCUUCGGGAACCGUGAGACAGGUGCUGCAUGGCUGUCGUCAGCUCGUGUUGUGAAAUGUUGGGUUAAGUCCCGCAACGAGCGCAACCCUUAUCCUUUGUUGCCAGCGGUCCGGCCGGGAACUCAAAGGAGACUGCCAGUGAUAAACUGGAGGAAGGUGGGGAUGACGUCAAGUCAUCAUGGCCCUUACGACCAGGGCUACACACGUGCUACAAUGGCGCAUACAAAGAGAAGCGACCUCGCGAGAGCAAGCGGACCUCAUAAAGUGCGUCGUAGUCCGGAUUGGAGUCUGCAACUCGACUCCAUGAAGUCGGAAUCGCUAGUAAUCGUGGAUCAGAAUGCCACGGUGAAUACGUUCCCGGGCCUUGUACACACCGCCCGUCACACCAUGGGAGUGGGUUGCAAAAGAAGUAGGUAGCUUAACCUUCGGGAGGGCGCUUACCACUUUGUGAUUCAUGACUGGGGUGAAGUCGUAACAAGGUAACCGUAGGGGAACCUGCGGUUGGAUCACCUCCUUA
RNAcentral lists this ribosomal RNA (1542 nucleotides) under Escherichia coli. Its description in RNAcentral is "bacterial SSU rRNA". It matches the Rfam family "Bacterial small subunit ribosomal RNA". The record is from RNAcentral. Lineage: Bacteria; Pseudomonadati; Pseudomonadota; Gammaproteobacteria; Enterobacterales; Enterobacteriaceae.